AGGCAGCAGUGGGGAAUAUUGCACAAUGGGCGCUAAGCCUGAUGCAGCCAUGCCGCGUGUAUGAAGAAGGCCUUCGGGUUGUAAAGUACUUUCAGCAGUGAGGAAGGUGGGUAUGUUAAUAGCAUACUCAUUUGACGUUAGCUGCAGAAGAAGCACCGGCUAACUCCGUGCCAGCAGCCGCGGUAAUACGGAGGGUGCGAGCGUUAAUCGGAAUUACUGGGCGUAAAGCGCAUGCAGGUGGUUUGUUAAGUCAGAUGUGAAAGCCCGGGGCUCAACCUCGGAAUUGCAUUUGAAAACUGGCAAACUAGAGUACUGUAGAGGGGGGUAGGAAUUUCAGGUGUAGCGGUGAAAUGCGUAGAGAUCUGAAGGAAUACCGGUGGCGAAGGCGGCCCCCUGGACAGAUACUGACACUCAGAUGCGAAAGCGUGGGGAGCAAACAGGAUUAGAUACCCUGGUAG
Molecule: ribosomal RNA, 458 nt
Filed under: uncultured bacterium
Lineage: Bacteria
Description: bacterial SSU rRNA
Rfam family: Bacterial small subunit ribosomal RNA
Source: RNAcentral